CUCCCUAGCGGCAAGUCGGCCCUGGUGCACCGCUACCUGACCGGCACCUACGUGCAGGAGGAGUCUCCGGAAGGUGGCCGAUUUAAGAAGGAGAUUGUAGUGGAUGGCCAGAGUUACUUGCUGCUGAUUCGCGAUGAAGGGGGCCCCCCUGAACUGCAGUUUGCCGCCUGGGUUGAUGCCGUGGUGUUUGUCUUCAGCCUGGAGGAUGAAAUCAGCUUCCAGACAGUGUAUAACUACUACGUGCUGGU
This is a non-coding RNA of Tinamus guttatus (white-throated tinamou), 248 nucleotides long. The record is from RefSeq and is a predicted model, not a curated record. Lineage: Eukaryota; Metazoa; Chordata; Aves; Tinamiformes; Tinamidae.